AUGUACCAUGCUGGAGUGGCCGCCACCUGGUUGAGGUAUCGCGCCGCCGCCGCCGCCGCUGCCCGGGUCAUCCUCUCCACCUGCAAGGCUGAGGGGAGCACCAUGAGGAUGAGGAGGUCAGUGGCUGAUAUAGAGAGCUCCUCGAACGAGGAAGUAGGAGCAACUCGAAGAUGUCAUUUUUCAGUUUUGAUGGGAAUCGCUACAACAACAAUUAGAAGAGACUGCAUUGCGCGUUCAGAACCAAUUUCUAGGGGAUUAUGGCAAGGAGCAGUGGUCGUUCGGGUUCUUGGGGAACGGCAUGCACAGGAAAUUUCAAGCAUGGACCAAGGAAACAAGAUGCUGAUGGAGUGUCAUGUAUUGCUGCUACCUGAUUUUCUGUGA
This 381-nucleotide ribosomal RNA is filed under the name Triticum aestivum (bread wheat). Its description in RNAcentral is "partial small subunit ribosomal RNA". Lineage: Eukaryota; Viridiplantae; Streptophyta; Magnoliopsida; Poales; Poaceae. The record is from RNAcentral.